Molecule: ribosomal RNA, 253 nt
Filed under: uncultured bacterium
Lineage: Bacteria
Description: partial 16S ribosomal RNA
Rfam family: Bacterial small subunit ribosomal RNA
Source: RNAcentral
UACGGAGAGUGCAAACGUUGUUCGGAUUCACUGGGCGUAAAGGGCACGUAGGCGGCUCGGCAAAUCGGUCGUGGAAUCUCGACGCUUACCGUCGAAACGGCGGCCGAAAAUACCGGGCUCGAGGGCGUGAGGGGUCACUGGAACUCCUGGUGAAGCGGUGAAAUGCGUAGAUAUCAGGAGGAACACCUGCGGUGUAGACGGCUUUCUGGACCAUUGUUGACGCUGAGACACGAAAGCGUGGGUAGCAAACGGG